Molecule: unclassified non-coding RNA, 391 nt
Filed under: soil metagenome
Description: partial contains 5.8S ribosomal RNA, internal transcribed spacer 2, and large subunit ribosomal RNA
Rfam family: 5.8S ribosomal RNA (bases 1-122)
Source: RNAcentral
GAUGAAGAACGUAGCGAAAUGCGAUACUUGGUGUGAAUUGCAGAAUCCCGUGAACCAUCGAGUCUUUGAACGCAAGUUGCGCCCGAAGCCAUUAGGCCGAGGGCACGCCUGCCUGGGCGUCACACGUCGUUGCCCCCCCAUCUACUCCUUCGGGAUUGCGAGGGGCGGAUGAUGGUCUCCCGUGCGCCUCGUCGCGCGGUUGGCAUAAAUGCCAAGUCCUCGGCGACGCACGCCACGACAAUCGGUGGUUGCGAAACCUCGGUUGCCCGUCGUGUGCGGUCGUCGCGCAUCGAGGGCUCGAAAAAAUUGCCGGGCUCCGGCUCGGCUUUCAACGCGACCCCAGGUCAGGCGGGGUUACCCGCUGAAUUUAAGCAUAUCAAUAAGCGGAGGA